Molecule: ribosomal RNA, 433 nt
Filed under: uncultured bacterium
Lineage: Bacteria
Description: partial 16S ribosomal RNA
Rfam family: Bacterial small subunit ribosomal RNA
Source: RNAcentral
AACGAACGCUGGCGGCAUGCCUAACACAUGCAAGUCGAACGAGACCUUCGGGUCUAGUGGCGCACGGGUGCGUAACGCGUGGGAACCUGCCCUUGGGUUCGGAAUAACUCCCCGAAAGGGGUGCUAAUACCGGAUAAUGUCUUCGGACCAAAGAUUUAUCGGCUUUGGAUGGGCCCGCGUUGGAUUAGCUAGUUGGUAGGGUAAAAGCCUACCAAGGCGACGAUCCAUAGCUGGUCUGAGAGGAUGAUCAGCCACACUGGGACUGAGACACGGCCCAGACUCCUACGGGAGGCAGCAGUGGGGAAUAUUGGACAAUGGGCGAAAGCCUGAUCCAGCAAUGCCGCGUGAGUGAUGAAGGCCUUAGGGUUGUAAAGCUCUUUUACCCGGGAUGAUAAUGACAGUACCGGGAGAAUAAGCUCCGGCUAACUCCGUG